GACGGGUGAGUAACGCGUUGGUAACCUGCCUUAUACAGGGGGAUAACAGUCAGAAAUGGCUGCUAAUACCGCAUAAGCGCACAGAGCUGCAUGGCUCAGUGUGAAAAACUCCGGUGGUAUAAGAUGGACCCGCGUUGGAUUAGCUAGUUGGUGGGGUAACGGCCCACCAAGGCGACGAUCCAUAGCCGGCCUGAGAGGGUGAACGGCCACAUUGGGACUGAGACACGGCCCAGACUCCUACGGGAGGCAGCAUG
Molecule: ribosomal RNA, 254 nt
Filed under: uncultured bacterium
Lineage: Bacteria
Description: partial 16S ribosomal RNA
Rfam family: Bacterial small subunit ribosomal RNA
Source: RNAcentral